UACGGGGGGAGCAAGCGUUGUUCGGAUUUACUGGGCGUAAAGGGCGCGUAGGCGGUCGUGACAAGUCACUUGUGGAAUCUCCGGGCUUAACUCGGAACGGUCAAGUGAUACUGUCGGACUAGAGUACAGAAGGGGCAACUGGAAUUCUCGGUGUAGCGGUGAAAUGCGUAGAUAUCGAGAGGAACACCUGCGGCGAAGGCGACUACCUGGCCUGUUCUUGACGCUGAGGCGCGAAAGCUAGGGGAGCAAACGGG
RNAcentral lists this ribosomal RNA (254 nucleotides) under uncultured bacterium. RNAcentral's name for it is "partial 16S ribosomal RNA". It matches the Rfam family "Bacterial small subunit ribosomal RNA", at positions 524 to 776 of the family's 1533-position model. The record is from RNAcentral.